Molecule: long non-coding RNA, 5501 nt
Organism: Eriocheir sinensis (Chinese mitten crab)
Lineage: Eukaryota; Metazoa; Arthropoda; Malacostraca; Decapoda; Varunidae
Exons: 2
Source: RefSeq, a predicted model, not a curated record
CUAAAAUGUGUUUGUGUUGUAUUUAAGAGUAAGUUUAAGGACCUCCCUCCUUGCCCUAAAUACUGAAUAAUAUAAGACGAAUUUUGGCAUAAUUUGUACGUGAUACCAAAUUGUUUAGUACUGUCCGAAGCACACUAAACUAACCAGGUCGUGUGUGUUGUAUUAAAAAGGAAGGUAUGGACCCCCUUUGCCGCAAGUGUUGAAUUGGUCUAAGAUGAAUUUCGGCAUAAUUUAGAAGUGAUCUUUAAUCAUUUAGUACUUCCUGAAGCACACUGAACCAAACUAACCAGGUCGUGUGUGUUGUAUUUAAGAAGGAAAGUAUGUACCUCCCCCGUUCCUUUGCCGUGAGUAUUGAUAUUGGUCCAAGAUGAAUUUCAGCAUAAUUUACAAGUGAUCUUUAUUUGUCUAGUAUUGUCUGAAGCACACUGAGCUAAACUAACCAAAUCCUGUGUGUUGUAUUUAAAAAGGAAGGUAUGAACCCCCCCUUCUAUUCCUUUGCCGUGAGUAUUGAAAUUGGUCCAAGAUGAAUUUCAGCAUAAUUUGUGACUGGUCCUUGAUAGUUUAGUACUGUCCGAAGCACACUGAACUAACCUAACUGAGUCAUAAAAUCCUGCCAAAUACUGAAUUGGUAUAAGAUGAAUAUCGGCUUAAUUUGUGUGUUCUUUACUUUUAGCACUGUCCGAAGCGCACUAAAAUAAUCAAGUCGUAAAAUCCCUCCCUCCCCGUAGUUAAAAUCAGUUUGAAGAUACAGCCUUGUGUGUGUGUGAGUGUGUGUGGGUUUGUGAGUGUGUGCGUGUGUGUGUAAUGUCUUUCUCAGGCCAGCGAGAGGGGUGGCUAUCAAACCUGUACAUACAAGGGCAUAUUUUUUAGCUAGUAAGUUGUAUAAUGUUUUUGGGUUAAGUGAUGAAUUUUAAGAUAUUGAUAGAUUACCGAUGGUGGUUCACAGAGGAGAAGGAUUUAAUCGACGUCAACGGUGGCUGUACCAAAUGACUCACAGCGGCGUGUCUCUGCCAAGGCGAUUACCAAUAGUUUACAGAGUUUUACCUCCUAACAAAUGGUUAAUAUUAAUAGUUGAGUUUGAGAAAUUUGUUCCAUUAUACCUGCAAUAGUUUAUCAAGACACUGUUAACCUAUGCACUUUUACCUCAAUUUUGCCGUGAACUUCCAAGCGACGGCACUCGGAUUAACAUGACAGCUCCGGAGAUGAAAGAAGCUCUCAAAUACUCUUAAGGGUCUCUUCCGCUCGGGUGCUGGUGGCUCGCUCGUAAAGCCUGGUCCCUCAUUUUUACGUAUUACCGAACUUGUAUUAUUAUUUUUCCUGAUUGUAAAACUAAGAGUGCGUGCUGAAUAGUACGUGAAAAGAUGUAUUCUUGCCAUGAUUCUGCUCUUCAAAUGAAACAGAAGCCAAAUGUAGGAUAUAAGUUUAGCCAUGAAGGUGAUAAUGAGAACGUUUUGAUUUGUUCCGAGUCAAAACAGAACAGAAAUGAUUACAAGGAGAUCCAGCCCUUCACCCUCAACCUCCUGUAUCGUAGGAGUUAUAUCAAAUGUCUGGUUCUUAUGGGACUUGGUGAAGCGUGAAUAUGUAUUUCUAAUCCUUUGGCCGAGGGAUAAUAAUUGUUUGCCUCCCUUCUACAAGUAAUUAGAUUGUGUUGAUGAUGAUAUUGAUUGAACGCUAUUCAUUAACCCCUUGACUGGAUUUCCUAUGUGUUAAUGAUGAUAUUGAUUGAGCGCUAUUCAUUAACCCCUUGACUGUGGAUUUCCUACAGUCAGACAUCACCAAGCUACAGGAAUGGGUCAAAAAGUGUCUGCUACAAUUCAAUGAAGAAAAAUGUAGUCAUGCACCUUGGGAGGGGAUAUCCAGCAUACCAAUACCACAAGGGAAACACUCCACUAUCCACCACAGAGGCAGAGAAAGACCUGGGAGUAUAUGUUACCAGGCUACCAGUGAAAGCCAAAUCCGUGCCAAUCGCAGCGGACGGGUUAAAUCAACAUGGGGAAAAAGAGGAAUAAAAAUCAACAAGAUGCUUUUUAGUAACUGUUUGUAUUCCACUGAAAAUUGAAUUCCAACGCCUCUUGUUAACUGGCAAAAGCAAAACUGACCUACUGCUUAUCCUUUGCUGAAAUAUUUUACUUGAAGCUAGAAAAAAAAACAUAGUUGAACAUCAUGACAUUAACCGAGCCAAAAAGAGAAGACAGCCAUUGAAUUUAAAAAAGAUCAGGCUUAUACGAGGACCAUCAGCAUCUUGGUUAAGGAACGGACUGCUAAACCUUCUUACCUCAUCCACCCCUAAAGUUAUACAAAGCCAUUCUCAACCUCUGUAAGACAUUCCAGAUCCUCCUUGUCCCCAGGGAGGAUAAAUGGCUCAAGGGUUUAUUUUUUCUCAUUGUGGGUUAUUUUGCUCAGCGCGUGUGUGGCUUUUGAGGUUUAUAAUUGGCACGUGAAGGCUGGAGGGGAGGGAGAAUCGGUGCUGCCAACCUAACUACUUAACCGCAAGUUUCUGAUUCUAGCGAAGAAUUAUUUGGAGUUUGAUUACCAGGAUUCGUUUCACAUAUAAACUCAUAUGACGUACAUGUAGUUUUCGAGGUCUGUAAUUGCCGUAUAAAGGCUGAGAGAGAGAGAGAGGAACGGAGAGUUAGUACUGCUAAAUCAACUCCAUAUUCACACUUAUCUGAUUUUAGCGAAGAAUUAUUAGAAGUUUGAUUAUCGGGAUUUGUUUCACAGGUAAAGAAAUCCUCGUAUGACGUACAUGUGGCUUUCGAGGUCUGUAAUUGGUGUACAAAGGCUGAAAGCGAGAGAGAAAUGGAAAAUCCGCACUGCCAAAGUGACGCUAUAUUCUUACAUUUCUGGUUUUAGCAAAAAAUAAUAUUGAAUUGAUUAUCACGAUUUAUUUUUCAUGUAUAGAAAGUCUCGCAUGAUUUACAUUCAGGCUCAGAAAAGAUGAAAAUAUAUUAUAAAACCUGAAUUCGUAUUACUUUCUGAGUCUUUCGUAAGCUGCUCAGUUCUCCCGUGCAAUCCGUAUAUAAAGUUACUUGAGUGAAAUGAUCUUGUUACGUAAAGGGUUGCAGACUCGGAAAAGAUCAAAAACUUGUAAAAUCUGAAUUUGUAUUACUUUCUGAACCAUUCAUAUGCUGCUCAGUUCUCCCGUGCAGUCAAUAUCAAAAGUUACUCGGCUGAAAUGAUCUCGUUCCGUAAAAGAAUGCAGACUUGGAGAAUGAAAAAAAACUUGUAAAACCUGAACUUGCAUUACUUUCUGAGCCAUUCAUAUGCUGCUCAGUUCUCCCGUGCAGUCAAUAUCAAAAGUUACUCGGCUGAAAUGAUUUUGUUCUGUAAAAGGAUGCAGAAUUGGAGAAUGAAAAAAAACUUGUAAAAUCUGAACCUACGCCACUGAUCGAGGCUCACACAAGUUGCUCAGUUCCCAGUGCAAUUAAGUUAGAAAGUUACUCAACCGAACUGAAUUUGUUGCAUAAAGUGAUUGGAAAAGAAAGAAUACUGCCAGUGCUCUCGGAAAAAAUACACAAGUGGAAAUUUUUGAAAACGGAUGUUGUUAUUUUUGGGGAAGAGAGGACUAUAGUUUGUCAGAAAGGCCUAAGAUUUUUAUUUUUAUUUUUUUUAUUUUUUUUCAGAGGAGUCGUAGAUGAACGGAGAGAGAAAUACCAUGAUAGGCAGCCUUUUUUUUUUUUUUUUUUUUUUUUUUUUUUUACGAGAUCACAUUUUACGUUCAUCAUCUCACCUCUCUAUCCCUCCCAUUGCCGUUACUUUUCUUCGCGUUACUAUUAUUAUUAUUACUCUAGAACCGAUGUGCAAAGUAGUGCAAGUUUUAAUUUUAUGCGUAGUUUCUCUUCUUUAGCCGUAAGUGUUCUGUGAUUCGUUUUUCUGUCGGAUUUAUUUAAGGAAGAAAAAAAAAAUUGGAUUGGAGGGACGCAAAAAAACAGGCAUCAUUUACCCCCCCUUAAUACCUUGCCGGCUCUCCCUGUUGAACGUACAAUGUAAGCGUCGUUAUUUUAAACCCGAUUAUCGCCUUGUUACGUAAGCGAGUCUUCCUGCGGCUCACUUUUCUUUUAGUUUUGUCACGAGUUUUGUGAUAUCGUUGCAGCUAACUGACUGACGGACUCGACUUGGCGCGAGUUCGUCCGCUCAUCGGCAGCCUUAUUUUGCCUGACUUGGUUUGAGGCAUAUUCGUAGGAGGUUUUCUGCUCUUUGUUUUUUGGGGGAUAGCGUUUUUACCAAUUGUUGUUUUUGAUGAUUUGUAGUUUUAAGCCUUUCAUGUACCUAGAAGUUAGUUUUUAGUCUCAGUGAGUGAUUGGAGGUGUCCACACAAUGUUAAUUUAAGUAUGUGUGUGUGUAUGUGGGUGCGUGUGUAUGUGUUUGCGUGUGUGGGUGUUUAUGAGUUUCCAGUUGUAUAUUUAAGAAUCCGAGUGGUCGGGUAUAUGUUGAAGCCAUUGUAGAGGAUUAUGGUUAAGAAUUUCAGUGUUCAAAAGUGUUCGUGACAUGGAAAUUAACGAUCAAGGACGAACAAGUGCCGAGCAGCGUCCUGAACGAAGCAAGAAACACAAAAGAAGGAGAGAAAGUUGUGAAUUUUAAACUUAGAUUAUUUGCCGAGCCUUGCCUUGAUUUUGGUUGAGUGAUGGGAUUGAAAUACAUCGUUGGCGAGUGGUCGAGAAUGUUUAACAGUGAAUGUGUGUGGUGCUUAUUCUUGGCAAGGUUUUAAAUUCAAGUUCGCAUUUCUGCCACGCAAAGGAUUAAUUCAUAUGUAAAAAUUCAUAAAUAUUGCUUUUCCACACGAUCAUAACAUUACCAAAUCGAUGAAGUAGCGGAUAAAAGCAAUCAUUUCAAAACUCUAUUUCGUCCCCACACAAAUUUAUUUCAAGACGGUUUUAUGAUCUUUAUUUACAAGUCAUCACCGCUACUUUGUGGGUCUUAAAAUAUCACGAGUUUGGUGUUCGUUUGGAGGUAAAAUGUGAAAGACAGAAUCACCCACCAACAAAACAUGAAAAAAACAUUAGAAUUUUGGAGUUUCAUCGUCUGAAUCUGAAUUGGAAGAGACGAGAAGGCAAGAAAACGGUGUAUAAAUUUUCUGGAUAUAAAUCAACUCAGUGCGAGAGGGAAAUGAGAGUGAGUAUGCAUGUAUGUGUAUAGUUUGCAUGCUUGUACUCUGGUGUGUAAUUCAGGUGUGUGUGUGUGGGUUUGGAUAGGUGUUCAUGUGUGUGUGUGUGUGUGUGUGCGCCUGCGAGUCUACAUCUUCCCGUCUGUGUGACUGGUUCGGGCCAAGAGAGUGUGUCCAGAGCUUGCCGUAACAGUCGUCGGCAGCUGAGAGGAGGAACGCAAGCGAGUCUUGUGUAUUUAUACGUAUAAUAUACCUACUUAAUAAGGAUUUUUUGUGUUGAUGUUCAAAUCUUUUUAUAUAAUUGCAUUUUUAAGCAGAUGGUUGUGGAGGAUUGGUGUCACAUAUCGAGUGUUUGUCUUUGUAAUAAGUCACAUGAGACAAAUAAAACUUUUUUUUA